UCCUUUUAUUUUGUCUCUUGUUUCGUUAAAAGAUGACUCCCGGCGGGAACACCAUCGAAUUAUUGGCUUAAAAGAAUAUUUAUUUGGUGAAGAUUGCUUUUAUUUACACAGCAUGUAUACUCUAUGAAAUGUGAUAUUCAACCUCUUUCCAUAUGAACAUGAAUCUAUGUACAGAUCUGGAGAUGAUACGCGUUAUACACGUACAGAUGUUCUGUUUAACAUUGAACGUUAUGACGCUGUAAUGUGCACAUGAUGUGUCGAACGUGUUCUCUCUCGCCCCAGAGCCACGGGUCAAGGCUGGGACGCAGUGAAAGACCUUGUACUGUGGCACUGCUUGCACUGUUGUCCUGUACUUACAUAUAUCGCUUCGCUUGCAGCUCCUCAUUUGUAAAGCACUUUGGAUAAAAGCGUCGGCUAAAGGAAUAAAGGAAUAAAGGAAUAAACGAAUAAAUGUCACAUGGAUUUAUGGCUCUUUGACCAUAUUGAGAUCUGAACUCACAACCUCCAGCCCAGGGAUUUUAAUGUGUAUCUUGAUUAUUAGAUCGUUUGACAGGGCAAGGCAGCAAACUGGCAAUAAUUUGGCAUUUAAAUACAAAUUCUGGCACCCGAGGAGGACGAGGAUGAGGAGGAGGUGGUGGAGGAGGACGAGGAGGACGAGGAUGAGGAGGAGGUGGUGGAGGAGGACGAGGAGGAGGACGAGGAGGAGGAGGAGGCCUGGAUUAGGAUUGUGCAAUAUAAUGAUUCGAUCAUCCCGACACUGGUUCUAUUAUGUUUGUAGACCUGGUCAGCGUUUUCUCUCCCAUAAAACGGGAUUAACUGUAACCCUGGAAGCCCCGCCCACUUCCCGCAAUCUCACACGCACUCGCUCUGUUGCUCCCCACAUAAACGGAGAACACUUUGAUUUCAAUAAUGUCAAAUAAAAGCUAACAGG
This is a long non-coding RNA of Ictalurus punctatus (channel catfish), 931 nucleotides long. RefSeq lists it as uncharacterized. The record is from RefSeq and is a predicted model, not a curated record. The transcript is spliced from 2 exons. NCBI's taxonomy places the organism in Eukaryota, Metazoa, Chordata, Actinopteri, Siluriformes, Ictaluridae.